Hyla sarda is the source of this 265-nucleotide long non-coding RNA. RefSeq lists it as uncharacterized. The record is from RefSeq and is a predicted model, not a curated record. The transcript is spliced from 3 exons. NCBI's taxonomy places the organism in Eukaryota, Metazoa, Chordata, Amphibia, Anura, Hylidae.
AAUAGGUCAUGUGACUGAGCAUGCUGCUUCCUGGUGGCCACACAGACGUAGUGUGUGCUUCUGCCUCUGCUAACAUGAGGAGACACUGGGAAAAAAAGACCUUUCAAACCUGGCGAUGCGAACUUGUGACCAUUGUAGUGGAGUGAGGCAGGAGUUUCUUAAAUCAAAGUCCUUGAUAUGUGAAUGCAGAGGACUACGCCAGAUUCAGUGGACUGCGACGAUGACCAGCGUUUAAUUUUUUUAUUUCAAUAAAAUGGUUAACGAG